RNAcentral lists this ribosomal RNA (1929 nucleotides) under Triticum aestivum (bread wheat). RNAcentral describes it as "partial small subunit ribosomal RNA". The record is from RNAcentral. Lineage: Eukaryota; Viridiplantae; Streptophyta; Magnoliopsida; Poales; Poaceae.
AUGAUGCUGCCCGGGCAUGCCUUGUGCCGCGCUGAACAAGGACUGUUUGAAGAUGCUCCAAGGAAACUUUUAUUUAAUUUCUUGGUCGUUAUAUUGGCUCUGGAAUUUAUCAAUAAGGCUGAUUUGAUUGCCAAAACAUCGGCUCUAAAGGCUGACACUCACACUCCUAUUAUGUCUGCUUCACAAGAAUGGAGUUCAGUUCGGCCCAUGGUAUCCCAAACCAAAGUUGUCACAAGUAUUGCAAUGAGUCAGCAUAGACAAAAGAAGCCAUAUUCAUCACCAUCAGCUCUAUCAUCUGUGCACUCUCCUAUCUCUGCGCCGAGCUAUAGCUCCAUCUCGGGUGCUUCUGAACGCUCUUUUGAUUCACUGGACCUGUUCGAUCCUUCGAUGCAGCACAACAGGCGCUCAGCAGAAGAGGUUCCUGCUCAUGUGGAUGCUGACCUCCCUGAUGCAGCUUCGAAUACUAGUACAGCUCCUUCUGGAGUGGUGCAGCCCCCACUAUCUCCAUACGAUGGCUGUUGUGCUCCGAACAUGGUACAGAGACGAGGUAGCGAGAACUGCCAUUGUGUUUACCCGGUAAGAGUUGUGCUCUUUCUUCACAAUGUUUCCUUGAAUUCAAAUUGGAGCAACGAAUUUCUUGAGGAGCUUGCGUCACAUCUCAACUUGCGGGUUACUCAGUUUGAGAUUGUAAAUUUCUAUGUUGUUGGAACUUCUGGGCUAAAUAUGACAAUGGACAUAGCUCCCCACACUGGAAAUAGCUUCUCAUCCGAACAAGUUACUGCGAUGAAUUAUUCUCUUAGCCUGCAUACAAUUCGGAUCAAUCCAGUACUGAUUGGGGACUACAAUCUUCUUGAUCUAGUGUGGUUCAGGCCAUUGGCUCCAGCUCCUGAUGCAAUAGCAGGCAGCUCGAGCGUACUUAUGCUUCUUUUUGCAUUUUGGUUGGGCUACAGGAAGUACGGAUCCAAAAGGAAAUCAAAGGAGAGAGCAAAGAUUGAGUCCAUCCUACAAAAGAAUGGAACUGUCCAUUUGAAACGGUACACUUAUGCCCAAGUGAAAAGAAUAACGAGAUCUUUUGCUGAAAAGCUAGGUCAAGGUGGAUUUGGUGCUGUUUACAGAGGCGACCUCUUUGAUGGUCGUCAGAUAGCAGUCAAAAUACUCAAGGACUACAAGACUGAUGGGGAGGAUUUCAUCAAUGAGGUAGCUAGCAUUAGUAGAACUUCUCACGUUAACGUUCUUAAUCUCUUAGGAUUUUGCUUGGAAGGAUCUAAAAGGGCAUUAAUUUAUGACUAUAUGCCUAAUGGUUCACUUGAAAAGUAUGCCUUCAAGGAUGGCUCUAAAGGUGGAAAUACUUUAGGUUGGGAAAAAUUAUUUGAUAUAGCAGUGGGCAUUGCUCGAGGACUUGAAUAUCUCCACAGAGGAUGCAAUACCCGCAUGGUGCAUUUUGAUAUCAAGCCCCACAACAUUCUAUUGGAUCAAAAUUUCUGUCCAAAGAUUUCUGAUUUUGGACUAGCCAAGCAGUGCCUCAAUAAAGAAAGUGUUAUUUCCAUUGGUGGUGCAAGAGGAACAAUAGGCUAUAUAGCCCCCGAGGUUUAUUCGAAGCAAUUUGGAACAGUAAGUACUAAGUCUGAUGUUUACAGUUAUGGAAUGAUGGUUCUUGAGAUGGUUGGGGCAAGGGACAAGAAUAUCAGCCAAAAUAGUGAAUCUACCAGCCAAUAUUUCCCACAAUGGAUUUAUGAACAUUUAGAUGAAUAUUGUCUUAGUGCUUCCGAGAUAAAUGGAGGGACCUCAGAGAUUGUAAGGAAGAUGAUAGUGGUAGGGAGGUGCAUACAGUUGAGUCCUACAGAUCGUCCAACAAUGACUAGAGUUGUCGAGAUGCUUGAAGGGAGCACAACUAACAUCGAAUUGCCACCAACGGUGCUCUUGAGUUGA